This 1880-nucleotide long non-coding RNA is filed under the name Mus musculus (house mouse). RNAcentral describes it as "long non-coding RNA chr14:18333070-18334950". Lineage: Eukaryota; Metazoa; Chordata; Mammalia; Rodentia; Muridae. The record is from RNAcentral.
GAACAGACCCCUGCCAUCCAAGUUCACAGAGAUCUUGUGUACUGAGCAGACAACAGCACUCGAAUUUCCAUGGUCCACUUUAAAUUACCUCAUUCAAAUUGACAUUGCUUCCCAUGGCAACAGUGGCUUCAGUUACCACACACACAUGAUAUAAAGAAAGCUCACAGCAUAUCCACAGUAGCCAGAAGAGCCAACAUUCUCACUAUCAAGCUAAGCCUAGCUGUCCAUCUGAAACUACAGCUGUGUAAAUAUUCAUAAAGUAAUUGCACACUUUAUUCCACUCAGUCUUUAAGGAAACCUGCAUCUAGUAAAAGUUGUCUUCAAAUUGUGUAUAGAAUCAGUGAUAAGUCUUCUCAUAGGAUAUCAUUUGAGCCUCCUGUCAGCAGAAAGAGCUGUUUCUCUACUACCCAAAGCAAAUGAUCCCCACCCCCCAACCCCACUUUGGGACAGUUUCUCGUUGUACCUCUAGCUGUUCUGGAAUUCUAGACCAGGCUGGCCUGGAACUUACAGAGAUCCACCUGCCUCUGCCUCUCAAGUGCUGGGACUAAAGGUGUUCACCACCACCACCAGGCAAACAUAAAUUUUGAAGCAAUCUCCACAAGUGUUUGGUUUUGUAUGUGCUGGUAGAGCUUAUAAAUGAUGAUAAUACCAGCCGGUCAUGGUGGCUUUGUUUCAGCAUUUGGGAAGCAGAGGCAUCAGACCUCUAUGAACUUGAGACCAGCCUAAUCUAUAUAGAGUUCCAGGCCAUCCAGGGAUACAUACUGAGACCCUGUCUCCCAAAAAAUAGUAAAAAAAAAAAAAAAAAAAAAAAGUAAUGAGUAAAUAAAGAUAGCUAUGUAUUCAAAAAAUAGUCUGAUGUAACGAUUACUAUUUUAAAACUUCUUAUUUAAGAUUUUAUGUGUAUGUAGACCAGGCUAGCCUUGAGCUCACAGAGAUUGUCCCUCCUCUUCCCCCUGAGCACUGAGAUUAAAGGUGUGUGACACACCUCCAAGCUUCUAGCUUUCUACUUUUUUCUUUUGGUGAUUUUGGGAAUUGAACCCAGGGCCUUAACCCAGGUCUACAUUCCUACCUAGACUGACCGGUGUUCUUAGUUACAAGAUUCUGAGCUGAUCAAGAUACAAGAAUCUGAGCUGAUCUCCCUAGCAUCAGUUUCCUCAUGCAUAAAGGGCAAGAAUAUUCACAUUAUCAGAUGCCUAUCUAUAACAUACUCAGUUAGCCAUUCCACAAAGUAAAGGAAUAAUUCAAACCCUGGGGUCCUAGGAUGAAUUUUCUAGGGCAUUCUUUUAGGAUGUGGGAUCUUUAAGACUUGAAAUUGAUGACGAGUACUUUAUUAGAAAAAUCAUUGUCAGGAGUUCAAAGCCUUCCUCAGCUAUGUGGUAAGUUUGAGGCUAUGUCACAUGAGUCCAGGCCUGUUGCAAAAUAAAUAGACAAAUUUAAAAGAAAUAAAGAAACUUUUCAGAAGGAAGACAGACUUAAGAAAUGAGGAUUUUCAUGUCUGGAAGGGCAUAGACUACUUUCCAGCUUACAUUCAAGUUCCAGUUGAAGAAAUGAAGGUGGAGAAAGCCCAAGGAUCUUACUCAAGGUUGGCAGUACAACCUCAACAGCUAACCAUCCACACACAGUGUUAGUACUGGCAGUGCUGAUAUGGAAGAAGGCCUGCACUUAUGUUAAAGAAAAAUAAAUUGAAUGUGAAAAACAAGCUCAGAUAAUAUUUUUAAAAUGCACUGUGGGUGUGAUAGAAUACUCCUGUAAUCCCAGCAUCUGGAAGGGGAAGCAGGAAGAUGAAGGAAGAGUCCAAGAGUGGGAGGGGCAGGAGGAGCUCUAAACCAGGCUCUGAAAUAAAGCAAGGUCAAGGCCAACCUGGGCUACUUGAGACUGUU